CUUAUCAAGAGUGGUGGAGGGAACGGCCCUGUGAAGCCCGGCAACCUGCGUGCGCAAGGUGCCAAAUCCGGCGGUGAACGAAAGAUGAG
This 89-nucleotide non-coding RNA is filed under the name human gut metagenome. Its description in RNAcentral is "SAM riboswitch (S box leader)". It matches the Rfam family "SAM riboswitch aptamer (S box leader)". Rfam says of the family: The SAM riboswitch is found upstream of a number of genes which code for proteins involved in methionine or cysteine biosynthesis in Gram-positive bacteria. The SAM riboswitch acts at the level of transcription termination control. The record is from RNAcentral.